UGUAUAAUGGGUCAGCGACUUAUAUUCUGUAGCAAGGUUAACCGAAUAGGGGAGCCGAAGGGAAACCGAGUCUUAACUGGGCGUUAAGUUGCAGGGUAUAGACCCGAAACCCGGUGAUCUAGCCAUGGGCAGGUUGAAGGUUGGGUAACACUAACUGGAGGACCGAACCGACUAAUGUUGAAAAAUUAGCGGAUGACUUGUGGCUGGGGGUGAAAGGCCAAUCAAACCGGGAGAUAGCUGGUUCUCCCCGAAAGCUAUUUAGGUAGCGCCUCGUGAAUUCAUCUCCGGGGGUAGAGCACUGUUUCGGCAAGGGGGUCAUCCCGACUUACCAACCCGAUGCAAACUGCGAAUACCGGAGAAUGUUAUCACGGGAGACACACGGCGGGUGCUAACGUCCGUCGUGAAGAGGGAAACAACCCAGACCGCCAGCUAAGGUCCCAAAGUCAUGGUUAAGUGGGAAACGAUGUGGGAAGGCCCAGACAGCCAGGAUGUUGGCUUAGAAGCAGCCAUCAUUUAAAGAAAGCGUAAUAGCUCACUGGUCGAGUCGGCCUGCGCGGAAGAUGUAACGGGGCUAAACCAUGCACCGAAGCUGCGGCAGCGACACUAUGUGUUGUUGGGUAGGGGAGCGUUCUGUAAGCCUG
This 641-nucleotide ribosomal RNA is filed under the name Escherichia coli. Its description in RNAcentral is "partial 23S ribosomal RNA". It matches the Rfam family "Bacterial large subunit ribosomal RNA", at positions 609 to 1251 of the family's 2925-position model. Lineage: Bacteria; Pseudomonadati; Pseudomonadota; Gammaproteobacteria; Enterobacterales; Enterobacteriaceae. The record is from RNAcentral.